AUUGAACGCUGGCGGCAUGCCUUACACAUGCAAGUCGAACGGCAGCACGGGUGCUUGCACCUGGUGGCGAGUGGCGAACGGGUGAGUAAUACAUCGGAACAUGUCCUGUAGUGGGGGAUAGCCCGGCGAAAGCCGGAUUAAUACCGCAUACGAUCUACGGAUGAAAGCGGGGGACCUUCGGGCCUCGCGCUUUAGGGUUGGCCGAUGGCUGAUUAGCUUGUUUGUGGGGUAGAGGCCUACCAAGGCGACGAUCGGGAGCUGGUCUGAGAGGGUGACCGGCCACAUUGGGACUGAGAUACGGCCCAGACUCCUACGGGAGGCAGCAGUGGGGAAUAUUGCACAAUGGGCGGAAGCCUGAUGCAGCAACGCCGCGUGCGGGAUGACGGCCUUCGGGUUGUAAACCGCUUUCGCCUGUGACGAAGCGUGAGUGACGGUAAUGGGUAAAGAAGCACCGGCUAACCACGUG
This 466-nucleotide ribosomal RNA is filed under the name uncultured bacterium. RNAcentral describes it as "partial 16S ribosomal RNA". It matches the Rfam family "Bacterial small subunit ribosomal RNA", at positions 28 to 507 of the family's 1533-position model. The record is from RNAcentral.